This is a long non-coding RNA of Aegilops tauschii subsp. strangulata, 2401 nucleotides long. RefSeq lists it as uncharacterized. The record is from RefSeq and is a predicted model, not a curated record. NCBI's taxonomy places the organism in Eukaryota, Viridiplantae, Streptophyta, Magnoliopsida, Poales, Poaceae.
UCGCACAUUCAUCUAAUCAUCUUCUGGUAAUUACUAUUACGAAGGCACGAAAGCAGAGCAGAGCAGAUCCUCUUCUCUCUUUGUUAAUUAUACUUACUACUCACUGCUGUUGUAUUCUAUUAGCACCGAGUCUGCCUCCAUAUUAUAUUCUUCAUGCUGGAGUAUAAGAGUAGUGCUAUCUUGCAGCCGGUGAUAGUCCAUGGAUUGACUGUGAAUUUAUUUCAUUAAACAAGCCCAUAAUUCCCACUCUACCCAGCCACACCACAGAGUAGAGAGAACUACUACCUCUUCUCUUGUCUCACCCAUAUGCACAAGUAAUUUAAUAGCAUCUCACUUGGGUGCUACUGCUACCUAGGUCGCUUCUUCUACUACUAAUCCAUCUAAUUACUUUUGUGUAUUUAAGCAUGUGAAUAGUUUGGACUGAAACUACAGUUUCAAUAAGUUUUUUCGUUGGACUGCUUUUGGAUUGGAUGAAAUAGGCUAAUCCCUUAAAUUAAUUUAGUUUGGUCUGGGUUGUACCUAUUAUUGGAUUGGUUUGGUUUAGUCUGGACAGAGACGCAUCAGUCUCAAAUGGUUUCAAUCCAUAGACAUGAACCAAAUUGUCGAACCAGACCUGCAGCGUGUUGAGCAUGUCCAUGACGGAAGCAGCCCUGGAUGCGUGCAUGAUGUGCAUGAUGUGUAUUCUACUGUUACCUGUGUAGUGGUACUGUAUUUUGUUCUUCCACCACAAGUACAGCACUCCUUUCCUCUUCUCUUUUCUCCCCUCUCCUUUCCUCUUCUCUUUUCUCUCAUGGAGACGCCAGAGCGCGCGCCCGCCGCCGGCGAAACCCCAUCACCGGCGACCAUAGAGAGCAGGGGCAACAGGAAGUCGCGGUGGCUCGCGGCCCUCUCCUAGCCCGAUCUUGAUUUGCUCACCAGCCUGAAAAUGCUGGUCGUGAAGCGGGCGGAGACCGCCAGACGUCCCCACCUCGCCGACCCGUUAGAUUUGCGCAUGCUGCGUGCUAUCGGUAUCGCGUGCUGCAUCCUCCGUUUCCUCCAUCGAUGGAAACUGGCACGGAGUAUGCAGUAGAAUGCUUAAAGUUAGUCGAUUGCUGACCUGCUGCUGGUUACUUGCUCGAUGCAGUGUGCUCAUCUCUUUGUUGUUUGGUAGUAAAACAAUCGUCGGUAUUCUGAAUUUGUGUGCGUCGAAUUUUGAGCAAACUUCUGAAUUCAUAGUGUAGGCCUUUUGAAUUCAACUUUGCUGUUUCUUGCUCAGAGUAAUUCAUUGUUGUUGGAUAGUAAAUCUACCUGUACUUUCUUGUCAAUUCACGUGCCAUUGUAGACAUCUUAUAGGAGGUUCAGCUGUUCUUGCUUUUGUCAGUACUAUGAAUUUCUACAAUCGAUACUCUGAAGUCAUGCAAAAAAUGGACAGAUUUGAAGCAAACUUUUGAAUCCAUAGCAUAACUCCUUAUUUAUUUUUGCUGAAUUAGAACUGUAAACUCAGCACGCAUAUAGAAAUGCUACAGCAUGCUCAACCAAAUGUGUUAGUUAUUGUGUCAUUGGGCUGACUUUAUACAAAAACCUGUUGCAAGUGCAUGGAAAAUGUGGCACUUGCCAUUCCGGAAUACUACCCGUUUUCUCUAUGAUUGAAGUGUCUCUGUCGAAUACUUCUAAACUGAACAGCUUCAUUCAGAAUUCUGACACUUCUUAGUGUAGCAUUGUAUCUUUAUUUUUACAUGAUCAAACUAUCUUCUGUAUGCAGUAUGCAGCCACACUAUGCCGUAUAUCUUCAGUAGUAAAUGUAUCAUCUUAAUAGUGUACUAAAGCUAGAUUCUUUUGUAGCUCAUUUUUUAGGCUUUCUCCAUGGUUAAUAUAAAUUAUGCAAAGCAAUGUUUACUUUGAGUGUAACUCUAGUGCCAUUCUUAUUAUUCAAUGUACAUCGACGGUGCUGCUGGACUUGUGCUAGUGAGAGGAGGGGAGAAAGCUAAGAACCUUGGCCUUUAAGUUCUAGCAAGGAUCAAAGGGAAUGCUGAUACAGCUCAGGGGUGAUUGACGUGGACUACUGCGACCUGGUGGGCGUCAUGCUCUUCAACCACUUGGAGGUGAACUUCAUCAUGAAGCCCGGCGAUCGCGCCGCACAGAUGAUCGUCCAGGUCAUUGCGACGCCGGAGGUCGCCGAGGUGGAGGACCUCGACGCCACCGUCCGGCGGGAGGGAGUGUUUGGAUCCACCGACGUUUGAACUCCGAGCCUUGGUAGAUACAUCUAGAGAAGUGGUCUAGUUGUUUGCAUCUGAUGUCAAAUGAGAUCUCGUGAUCUCGAGUUGAGAUGUUCAAUGUUGUAUCCAUUAAUGCUGCAAGUGCUAAGAUGGUUCUAUGAACUUAGUUUAUGUACACAGGACGUGUCUUGAUUUCCAUCCAUGAA